AAAUAAAAUAAUAAAAUAAUAAAAUAAAAUAACUGCCACUCGUGUAGGUUGUGAAACCAUUGCUGCUCACUAGGAUGAAAGGCACCAUAUGUGAAACAUGUUGCUGAUUUCUUAUCUCCAGAAAAUAUGUUAUUAAAGUAUAGAGGGACAGAAUGAUUUGUUUCUGCAGUAGGAGCAGUGUUUCAUGGGUUUAGACAAUGAGGGUGGGUCCCAUUCCCUCACUAUAUACAACCUUAAUGAGCGCUGCUGAACUAAAAUGUCAGAAUUUAGUUAUAAGGAGAAAAGUUUUUUUUUUUUUUAAAUCCCAUAGAACAUGAAUUUUUGCAACUGUUCACCCUCAGUUUUGCCACUCAUACAACUCCCUCCUCCAGUGCACAGCCUAUGGAGUCGUGAGAGAAAUAUUAUUUCUCAAACAGUGAAAUGUGCUUCUGAGCUAAGGAGAUGGCCACAUCUCCCCUGUGAUAAUAAUAAUAAAAAGCCUCACAGACCAGCAAAAUUCAGACCAGCAAAAUUCAUCCCCUCCUUUCCUUUCUUGGAGGGUUGAGGGAGCAAAAUUCUCAGUGCAUGUUUGUUGUGGGGACAGCAAGCUGUGGGACAAGAGGACCCUUCCUCCCAUGGGUCCAGAGCAUCCAGCACCCAAGGGACCCCACCCUGGGUGAAGGGAGGGACCCCAGCCUUGUCCCUCAGGGACACAGCCUUCCCCUGCUCAUGGGAUACUCAGGACACAGCUUGCUUUGAGUAAGUGCUGCCCCAUCCCCAGGGUGGGUGUCCAACACGAGAUCUCCGAGCGUCUCGCCGAGAGGAUGAUCUAACAGGGAUUUCCAACAAAAAUGGUUCCAUGUGAUUCUCCACCUUCCCUUCCCUGCCCUCCUGCCCCCGGUGCAGGACCCCCAAGGAGUAAAAAGUGUAAGAGCUGCUCGGAAAGAGGUCAGCUAAUAAAUGAUAUCGAAAUCCUAGUCCCAGAUUUUCUGUUUCCAACAUGCUGCGCAACUAACACUGUGACACUUUGGCAGGAUGAUGGAGAAAAAUCCCGUGCCAGCUGACUGAUGAGCACCCAUCUUUUUUAAUUAAUUGGGUUGAAAAAUGUCUUGUGUCAGCUUGAAUGUAGGGGCUCUUUCGGCUGCGUUUUUCUGGAUACUUAUACAGAUAUAGCUAACUGCAGAUUUGAGAGCCCAGCGUGAGGCCUCAUAAAUGAUAAAAAUAUGUAUAUAUUAGAAUUAUACACACACACACACACGCACAUAUUGGAUAAAUUGAUACUUAAACAUAUAUGUGUGUAUAUAAUGUUCUGUUCUCUGUUCUGAGAGAUAUUUAUAAAUAGAUUUUUAUAUUUAUCUAUCGCUAUUAUUCACAGCUCUAUGUGCAUGUGUAUUGCAAAAUCUGUUUGGCUUUUAUUUUCUGAUAUGCUUUUUAGUUUUAAGCAGAGUAAUAUAUCUGAUUUCUCUUUAAAUUAAAUGAAUUUAUUUGUCUGCCUUCCCUUAAUGGAAUCAGUUUUGAUAUACUCUUUGUUCAUGCUGUUACAGGCUUCAGUCUAAGGGCUCUUUGUAUUAACUUUUUAAAGUUACAUUACAAAGAGGUUUUAAGAUUUCCCAACAGGCUUUUAUUUAACCAGGGCUUUUGAUCUCAAACCUGCUGGGGCCUAGUGAAAUCCUUACCAAUUCUCCAGUAACUCCUCACUAUUGGAAUUUGAAAAGACCCACCUGAAGGAUUUAACUCGCUGUAUGGCUUCAGCCAUCCUUUAGAUGCUUCUAUUCAUGCAGACAGUGAGGGGGUCGAGGGCACCCUUUGUGAUCCUCCAAGUAGCCUAAGGUGCCCUUUGCAUAAGUUGUGCUCCUGAGGAAAUAAAAAUCAGGAGGACACAAACCUAUAUACCUUAUUUCCUGCUAUCUUUACUUAAAGGAGGAGCACAGGGGGUCUGCUUAACAUCCUUUGCUACCUAAAUACCUUUUGGACAUGGGAACUCAAUAAAGGAACUUUCAUUGCAUCCAUUACCCUACUGCGGUGCAUAGCAAAUUAGAUUUAAAAGGGUACUUUUUCCCUUACAGCUAUUUCUAUCAUUUUCUUUAAAAUUUCAAUUUAGUGUCUAGUGACAGAAUAUUCUGUAAUGUACAUUAGAACUAUAUAACACCAAUUAUGCUAACUGUGAACAUUAUUUCAAAAGAAUUAGUUAUAUUAAGUUAUAGAUAAACCACUGGGGAAAAAAAGGUCAGGUUAGAAAAAAAAAAAAAAAGGAGCUAUGUGAUAAUGUUUUAAAGGAGCAACAUGAAGUGAAUGCUCUUUUCAUUUUUUAAUCCUUUCAUUUUGCAUAACCCACACUGAAAUUUUGCAACUGACUUGGUCUUGGUUAUUUAGGCAGGGGGUGGCAUGUCACUGUGUUAAUUUACAGCAACAAAUCGUGGUGUAAAACCUACAGCCGGGUCGUGUGGUUGUGGAGAAACAUAAUUUCCUCUGUUUGGGGGGAAAUGGAAUUGCAGAAAUCCAUGAAAAGUCUUUUGGCAGACACUGGUGACCAGUACACAGGAAAAAAAAAAAAAAGAAAAGAAAAAAGUAGAAAAUGCUGGCAGACCAAGCUUGAAAGAAUAUAACUAAGCACAUUCUUGUCACAGUUUUGGUUGUCUGUUUUCUUUCUCAUGACUGUACCACACAUGAUAUUAUGUCUGUUACCUGCAUUUGGUGUUGGCUUUCUCAGAUUAAUUCCUUUUCUAUUUCAGCCCUAUGCAAAAAUGAAACCACUCUGCAGAGUGCAGGGGAAUCUAAAUGUACCUUAUGUUUUCAUUACUCUUAUUUUCAUUUGUCUAUUUCCUAUUGGUUUGUGGGUUGGAGGAGUUUUGAGUUUCAAGACGUUAUUUAUGUAUUUGUGCUCCUUCUUUGUGUGCAGUUGGUCUGGAGAUGUUUUGUGUAGAUGAAUAAAAUAAAAAUUCUCCAUUUUAAUCCUUAUUUUUCCCUGCCUUAGAGUUGGUUGAAGACUAUUGCUGGAACCGUGUGUGGUUUGGUUAUUUCGAUUUGUAGGGAUUCCUGGCAAAUCAUUUGUGUUUGUUUGACGUCCUGUGGGAUCAAACUGCCAUGAAUUUUGAAUGUUCUAAAAACUGUGUAGUUUACUUCAGCUAAAACUGCCUUCCACUUGAAAACAUAAAUCAGCACAGUUGAAAUCUAGUCAAGGGUUUGUUUUUUUUUUUUUUUCCCUUUUUUUUUUUUUAACAAUUGGGAUUUGCCUCAGCUCCAGCUUGAGCUGAAGCAUUUCUGUGCUGGUCCCUUGCAUCCAGAAAAAAAGCUGGAUGACAUUGUCAUGAGUCAAGUGCCAAAUUUCUAAGCAGUCCAUCACAGGUGGAUGGGUCCUUGGGCAGACCCUGAAAUGUGCCCUGCCGAGGACUGCACCUUCUGCAGGCUCACUCAGGGUGGGUUUUCCUGUUUCAGGGCCUUCUCACACUGAUCUGGAGUUCAAGCACUUCACAAAACCCAUCAGACUCCAAAUCAAGGAGAGAAUCACAGAAUCAUUUAGGUUGGAAAAGACCUCUAAGACCAUCAAGUCCAAUUUAGACUUUUGUUCAGGAUUCUUUUAACUUUCAGCUGCAGCUCCAAGUGGAGUUACAGUAGGAGCUUUCACUUUUUCUCCAGCAGUGAAGUGAAAUUGGAAGCAGAUGUGAACGCUGGCAUUGUCUCUGGGGGACAGAUGAUGUUAUUUCACCAGCCUGACAUCUGUUGAGACUUGAUUAAACCCAAAGCGUGCUGGGCUGGUCCUGCUCUCUAGGUCCUCUGGAAAGGGAUUUGUCCCACCAAGUGCAUUUGGGAAUUCAAGCCUCUCUUACAGACAUGGAAGCCUCUGAGCUGGGGCUUCAAAUUGGACUUUUUUUAUGUUCAGAGGAUGCAAACCACAAUGGAAAGGUUUUUAUCUUUGUGGCAAGGAUGUGAGGUUUUAAUAUGAGUCCAUCUUUAUAGACUAGUGGGAAAGAAAGGCAAAUUGAGAGGGGAAGAAGGAACUUUGAUUGGGAAGACCUGGUGAUACUUUUGGAUGAGUCUCUGUGUGUGCCCACAGGAAGAUGCCCUGAUCCAAGACCUUUAUUCUUUAAACUUCCUGACAGCUUUGCUGGGCAAUGUCAUCCUUGCCCACCCCGAAAAGGGAGAAGCUGUGUUCCUCAAGCACAUCUUUUCCACUGUGCUGUACCCAUCACUCUGUGUCUUGGAGGGGUAUAGAAAACCCUAAUUUCCAUGUGGAUGGUGAGGGAUGCCUUUGUGGAGGAAGCAGCCCCGGAUGCUGCCCAGCUGCCUGAAUAGCCCCCAAGAAACCAAAGCAUCCCAAGUUUUGUUCUAGCAGCUCCCCCUGUGACCUUUGGUAAGCAACUUAACCUGUUGUCCUCAGGAUCCCCAGUAAAAUGGGAGACCUUAAUACUUAUCUGGUGGGAUAACAGUGCUUAAUACUUACCUAAUUGGAUGACAAUACUUACCUACAUACCUCACAGGGGUGUUGUGAGGAUUAAUUAGCUAAUGUUUGUAAAGUGCUUUGGAGAUGGAAAGCGGUAUAUAGUAGUGCUAAGCGCUGUUACUCUGUGUCAGCACCCAGGCCUUAAAAUGGCUAAGACUGCAAUAAGAGUUUUUAUAUGUUUUAAAAUAAGCCAAUUCUGCAAGGCAUCCGGAUGCUGGGAUUAUUUUUAGGCAGAGAUUUCUAAGAAAGUUGGGAAACAGAAGGGUAUAAUUAUAUGACCUGGAACCUUCUGUUGUUUCUUCUCGUUGACCAGCUAAACAGUCUUAGGUGUUGUUUGAUGAAUUGUAAGAACUGCAUGUUGGAGUUUAAGACAUAUUAGUGUUUAUUCUUGCUGAUCAAACAAUAUUCGUUGAAAUAAAUAUCUUUGCUACAAUUUGGACAAACAAAUAUAUUAAAUAAGCCAGAGGAAGUAUUUAUUCCUGUGUUCUUUUUUUUCUGUGUUUCUUUCUGUGAGCAGCUUUUUUUAUCAGUGUAAUUCUGCUUUUGUUCCCAUUAGGGUAACUGAAAGGUAACACCGCUGCAGUAAAUGGAAAUACACCAGAUACAAAAGCAUUAUGUGAGAGCAAAAUUAUAUUUAUAUGUGGUCUGAAAUGCAACCUGACUCUUUGUUUUAAAGAAAAAUCAAACCAACCAUUCCUAGAAAUAUGUAUAAAUGCAACUUUAACAGAAAUUGUCAAACUCUUUGUUGAAUCCUGCUUGUUUCAUGGCAACUCCUAAACAGAUUUUGCAAAAGGAAGGUCUGGUAUAGCAUAGACCAUAUUUUCCCUUUUGUGGGAGGAAACUUUGGAGGAUUUUUGCCUUUAAAUAUUUUAUUUGGUUCCUAAUGUGAGCUCUCGAUCCAAGAAAGCAACUUUAUAGUUAUCAAAGCACCCAUUUGUAUAUUUUUUUGUUACAGCAUUUCUUCAGAUCUUUUCCUCCCAAGUGUUAAAGAGAAUUCCCACAAAUUCCUAAAAUCUGUUAAAAUACAGAACAGAGUGCUCACAUUGGUAUGUUGUAUCUUGGCUGUCCCUGGUAGAGAGCCUGUGCAUUUUCAUCCUGGGUAUGCAGAAGAAAUUCGAUCUGCUGCUGGGCUAAGCACCAGGAUUUGGUUUGCUCUAGGACCAAUUCUUACAUUUCUGCAUCGGGCAAACGUAAGAAUGGAUAACGCUUGGAAUAAAACCUACCCCAAAUCCUUUUGCGUGGAUAUCAGGUUAUUUAAAAAUUGAGAGCAUUCCCCAUAACCAAGGGUGAGUCAAAGAAAAUGGCACCAAAGGGCUCAGAGCAGCCAAGAGGAAAACUCAGCCCAACCCUGAGCACGUUGUUGGUGUCCCAGCUGCCAGAACGACCCAGGAGGCUCAGGGGGAAGUGGGCCAGGAAGCCAGGUGUGGUUGUUGGGAAGGAGAUCUCCCAGAUUAGCUGGUGUUUGGCCCUUCAGCUGCCCAGCGUGAGCCCACAGGGGCUGUAUCCAGCUUUGGAGCACAGGAGGAGGUGAAGUGAAGGAUGACUGAUGCUGUGCAGCACUCUGCACUUGGUGUUCCUGAGGAGGAACUGAGGGGAUGAGGGGACUUAGUGUUUGGGGAGAAUUAUUUGUAUCCAGGCAGCAGAAUUUGCAGACUUGCAGGCUGGGGAGUUUGGUUGAAGUACAGGACUUUGCUAACCCCUCGGUGCCCAUCGUUAGCAUUUCCCAGAACAGGAACUCUUGCCAAAAUGGAGAGGAUUGCCAUAGCCAGUGCCUGGAGUAAGAAGGUGAAAUGCAGACAGGGAGGGAAAAGGUGGGAAAAGACGGGGUUGCAAUGGGGCAUCAAACAAUGGAAAAAGGUAAAAAUCUAAUAUUCUGUCUCUGCUCUCACUGACUUUGGACAAAUCAUAUAAGUGCAGUGUAAAAUGGGAUAAAACCAAUUUCUUCUGCACUUUAGGAAUAAUUAGAGAUAGUGCAGGGCCCAGGUGCCACCACGAUGGAGACAGGCAGAGCAGCUCCCAGUGGGACUAUGCUCUGCAUCAUGUGGUGGGAGAGCAUGUCUGCUAUCUCUUUUGCCUCAGGAGACCUAAAGAAGAUGUAGCAGUGGAUAGUUUUGUAUACCUGGAUUUAAUCUUCUCUCUCCUGCUUUACCCAAAUCACCUCCAUCUGAUGGUGUAGUAGGUAUUUCCAGCAUAUCCACCAGUCUGGCAGCUUUGAAAAAAGAUAUUCUGGGGGGAAAGCACAGCCCAAAGUCCACCUUCCUGAGCAGACUGUGGUUGCUGCACCAGCAAUGCGUGACGUGCAAAUCAGCCAAUAACACCUGAAAUUUCUUCAGUGAAGUCUACCAGAACUUGUAUGCCAAAGAUUUCUUUCCUACUCUAAUAAGUGCUUAAUAAAUAACAAUUUCUAUUAAAAAAAUAAAAAAAAAGGAAGAAAAAGUAGUGGUCAUACAAAUAAGACACUACUACUGAACAGGAGAGCCUCAAGGGGCAACAUGAUACCUGAUCACUGAGGCUGCCUCUGGCAGUCAAAGAAUCACAGAAUCAUAAGACCUUGGCUGGUCUGGGUUGGAAGGGACCUUAGAGAUCAUCUGGUGCCAACACCCACAGGCACAUCCGGGCUGUGAUUCAUUCUAUGCUAAAAAAGCUCAGUGGUCCCUUCCUCACCUUUGGCCAAGGAUUUAUGCUCUUCCCUGGGAGCAGCACUGAUGUUCCGUGGUGCAUGACCACCCUGGGGAGCCAAACUGGCCAAACUCCCAGCUAAACCUGGGAACUGAAUCUCGAAAUGGUCCCUGGAGGUGUUAGCCCCAGCCUAGAGAAAGGAUGUAGGGUGUAGGAUAAAGAAUAGUGGGAAAGGUAGAGGCAUAGCAGCCUCAGAGGGGUUUGGAUAAGACAUCAAGAAAACGCCCGAAGAAAAUACCUUGCUUUUAAUAGUUGCUGGUGCUGUAGGUGGUCAGAUACAAAAGAUUUAAAAAGAGGACAAGAAAGGGCUGUCUUAAUUUAAGCAUUUAUUCAGAGAUGGCCGAAACUAAGCAAAGGACAGGAUGUGCAGGAUGCUGAAGUCUGUGGCAGACCGGAACCCUCUUGUUUCUGCCUCAGCCUCAUCUUCAUCACUGCAAUGAAAAGUAUUUGUGCUCUGCUCAGCGUGUGUGGAUUUCUGCGUCCCUCAAUGGGAUUGCAGGGGGAAUCAAAGUGAAGAGUCCUCUUUAGGUCCUCAAGAAAUAGAGCUUUCUGCUGGUUAACCAUUACUUUGCAUUUUCCCUUCCUCACAAAACGACUGAGGUUAAACAUUAAGCGCCUGCAGUGAAGGACACCUGUAUUUGCUGGUCCCAUUAUGCAGCUCUACUGAAAAGGCUUUACAGCUGUCUAAAUUAGCAUAAUUAAAUCCACAUCAAUUAAAAAACCUCCAUCAUCUCUUUCCCCUUCAGAUGCAGAUAGUCGCAUUUGUCUAAGGUGCUAAGUGACAAAGGAACUUUUUAACAGUGGAAGCCGGAGCUGAAAGGAAGAGUAAUACGGGUUGUAUAUUGGCCCAAGGUUCACCUUAACACCAGUGGAAGUGAUUAGUGGGUGCUGCUCUGCCUAAAGAGGUAGAGCUGCCUUUUGCAUGACAAUGAUGCCAGGACCCAGAGCCAGGCAUUAGAGAUGUGCAUUUUACAACGGGCUUGGCUUCUAUUGCUCCUUUAUACCCCAUUAAUGGGGGGAAACAAAGCCUGGCAUGAUUUGGCCAAUUUCCCCCACCCUACUUUCUUCCCUUUUUUGUUUUUUGGGCCUUUUUUUUUUUUGUUUUGUUUUGUUUUGGUUGUUUUGUUUUAGGGUUUUGUGUUGUUGUGUGUGGGGAAGCCCCAGUGACCCCAGGAUAGCAGCAAGGCUGCGCUGUGUGAUGCGAGCAAAGAGAAUUCCUCCAGAUGAAAACUGACAUGGGGUUCAGGGGUUAAUUUCUGGAACAGGCACAUUUGCAUACAAAUGAAAAAUGAUGGAAUUUCUGUUCUCCUAAAUUUUCAAUGUCAUCAGCAUCAAACAGCAGUCAGUGCUCCCUUGCUGUUUGAAGAAUAUUCAUUACUUCAGAAGAAGGGGCACCUUGUUUGGUAUUAAUCUCCUCUUCAGGUCAAUGACUUAAUUUGCUAAACUCCAUCUGAAGUGCCACUCACUUUUAGAUUUCUCUGCUAUUCUUUGUUAUUUUUCAUAACAUGUUCUUAAUACUUUUUUUAUUUGUAAGGGGAUACGUGUCCCCAGCAAAUGCAAGCAGGAGGAAGGACUGCCUUUAUUUAUUUAUUUAUUUUCACCCAGAGAACUCAACACCCGUCUAUAUCAUUUGUAGCACGUUUUGGUGUCUGCUCACCUUAAAAUUCAUGGGGGUAUUAGCAGAAAGAAAAUAACUUGUGGACUCAAAUGGGAAAACAUUUUUUCGUUCAAAACUGUCAUUUAAAUGGACAUCUGGUGCCUUGUGCAGCAAGGUUAUGGGGUGUCAUGCCUCUAACAAAAGGUAACAAGCGGCUAAGUGAUUAAUCCCCCAAAGAAAAUCACAAUAUUCUUUUAGUUCCUGCCUCUGGAAAUUCUCAUCUGAAACCGCAGUGGCUGAAGACGUACUCAAGGAAACUUUUGUGUUAGCUCUUAUUUCCCCAUUGUCCUCUCUGUGUCUGCCAGGGGCCUGAGGAAGGAUCCCAUUUCCCUCCAUUUUUGCCCUUCAUGGUUAUAAUUCUUCUGCCUGAAUAGGAUUAUUCAGGGCAUCUUUAGAUCUUCAGAGCUUGGGGGUGUCUCUGGGAAAUUGGCCCAGGGCUCUCAGGUGGCCAUGCCCACCCUGUGGCCUAGGUGCUCCUGGCUGAGGGUCCCAGGGGAGGUUGGCUGUCCCUGUGGGAUGGGCUUAAAAAACCCUCAAAGUCAAGAUUUGUCCUAGAACCUUCUGUUUUUAUAUGUCCAGAGCUUUCUGAACUUUCCAGUCAGGCUUAUUCUUGGUUCUCAAAAUAAUGGGGUUUUUUGUUUGUUUGUUUUUUAAUUAUUAAUAAGAUCUGAUUUUUUUGGCAUGAGCACUUAUGGAAAUGAAGCAAUUGCACUGUCUGUUCUUCUGUCUGUCACCCUUACUAACUUUUGAACCUCUUUGCCAAUAUCUCUCCAGUUUGUUCACAGGCUACAGAGCUCAAAAGUGUGAAGUGCUUUCCAGUUUUAUUUUUUUUUCCUUCCAUAUCUAACUCUGAAAUGGUAACAUUUACUGUUGGAAAUAGUACGGACAGCUAAGCUUUUAUCUAUUUUUUUUUCUUGGUUUUUGGGGUUUUUUUGGGGUUUUUUGGGUUUUUUUGUGACUUGCAAAGGGGAAAAGAAGUGAUCUGAGGAUUAUUCCCUGUGUGUCUCUAUGAAGGCUGUUAGCAAUUAACCAACUCGUUCUGGAUGCCUCCAAGUCCAGCUGGGUGAGGUUCAAGAUCCUUGGCAAAAAAAAUAUCAAACAACAAACUAUGUACACAUAGUAUAUACAACUUGCAUGCAAUUGCCUCUUGCUGCCUUCUCUUCAUGCAAUAAUUCUUUAAACUGAGAAUUUUGAGGUUUCUCCGUAUUUAUGGAGCAUGUCACUCAGUGGGGCUGUAGUCCUGAGCACUGGAAAAAUAAAAAUAAACGGGGGCUGAUGGUGGGGAGUUACAUUCCUACCUGGAGCAUUAAGUUAAGAGUGUCUAAGGGCCUUGAUCCUCAGCCCCAGCCAAGCUGGAUUUAGCAUAGGUCAUAUUAAGGUGGGGCAAAGGGGGCUUUGUGUCAUUUUUAGAUCCCCUUAUCCCAGGCUGUGGAGCCUGGUGUGAUGGAUGUGCUGGAGGUUGGGAUGGCAGAAGGGCUGGUGCAGUUGGCCCAGCGCCAUCCAGAGAUCCUCUCCACCAAGGGCACCUCGGGGGUGACAGGAUAAGCCAGCUUUGCAAAGGCAGCUGCUCUGGGAGGCUGGAUCUGCCUCCUUAUCCACAGAGAAUGUCCUCAGCAUAAAAACUUUCUCUGUGGGAAGGCUUGGCUGUGGGAAUGAUCCUGCGCUGACACGUCUGUGAUGAGCGGGGAGAUGCUCCCCUCCUGUGCAGUUUGUUGCUGUCGGAAGAACAAAUCAAGGAAUUGUCAGAUAAAGCCAAAGGAAUCAGUAAAAAUCAGCAUCAUCCAAAAUUCCGGGCCAAAGAGUUACAACUGCCCGUGUCUUGUGCUGUGAAAUCCUUCUGCCAGGGGGGCUGGAUUCCUCCUGAUUCUCUUAUGUGACAAAAUACGGGCGGAAAAAUGACUCUCAUGAAUGCUUUUGUGGUGGAAGGCUCAGGAUUCUGUCUGAGGAGCUGAUUCUUAGUCACAUCUGUCUAUCUUGUUGUAUGAAUAUUGAUAAUGAAGUCAGAAAGAGAGACUUGUCAUCCUAAGUGCAUCAGACUCUGGCACUUGCCUGCUCAGAAGGCGGCGGCUCUGCUGCUUCGCUGCUGUCGGUGAUGUCGGUUUGUUGAAAUAAUAUGUCUCUGCCAGCUGAGAAUCUGGCCUUAAAAUGAGAAAAGUUGAGAUUCCCAUUGUUGAAUUAGUUUGGCCACAUUAAAAAUACGUUGCUCUAGAAAUGUGUAUAUGAAUAUGCUAAUGUUUAUUUUGCUAAAUGUGCUUGCCAGGAUGUGCCAUGUGGCUGAGUUAGUGUUACUUUAAGAAUCCUAAUUUUUUGCCUUUUCAGACUUUGGAUCUUUUAAACUUGUAAACACAGCAUUUUGUUGGCAAAAGUCUCUAUGAUUUUAUGCAUACAGCUGACUUUUAUCUUCACUUUUUACAUCACCUUAAUACUGAAAGAGAGAAAGCACUCAUCUGUUUAUGAUAAGUUUAUCAGAAAUACUCCAAAGUUUUCCAUGACUAAGAUAUUAUAUUGUUACAGUGGCUUGCUACAGGGUAAUUUCUAGACAACAAACAGAAUAUUUAAAAGCCCAGAUGUCCUGUUUAGACAAGGGGGUUUAUAUUGAUUAGGAUCUGCUUUCACCUAACAUCGUGUAGUAAAUAUCACAAAGACAUAAUUAGAAAAUUUGAUACAAUAUUUAGUCCUAGUCCCUGUGUGCCAGAAUUGUUUGACUACUGAGAAACUGGAGCUUGUUUGCAUCCCAGUGUGUUGUGAAAUGCAAACUUCAAAGAAAAUAUUAUAUCUCCCAACUCCAGCUCGUGAGAGUCUUGGAAGUAUAAUACAGAAAGGCUUAACAAUCCCUGCUGAGGAAAGGGCAAUUUGACACUGAAACUACUGUUAAAGCACCGUUGACACUCUGGUGGGCAAAAAGUGCUUAUUAGAGGAGUCUAGUUACAGUCUCAGGAGCCAGGCAGAGAAACCGCACCAGAGUCAUUGUGAAAACUGGCAAGUUGCACCAAAUAGAUGUGUUUUGUGUAUGUGUCUGCGCGAUUUUUUCCCCCCUCCUUAACUACACGUAUCUCCGUGUUUGCUUCGUAGGCUUUCCAUAAGAUUGGGGCCCUUGCGGUAUUCAAAUAAAAUAUUUAGAUUUGCAAAACUUCUGGAAGCCAGAUUUUAAGGGAAAAAAGAGGUUUUUUGUCAGAUUGUCAGUGUCUGAAUUUCAUCACAAUCUGUUCAGCUGUUUGUUGCAGGCAGGCGUAAAACAUAGUGGGUAAGUGUGUGUUUGUACUUCUUAUACAUAUUGAAAGAGGGCUGCCUAAUCCCCUUGAUGAGGAAAGCUCUGUAAAUUAUAUACAUCUGCAGGCACUGUGCAUGGGUAGUACAGAAGCAAAGAGGCAGAUCAGCAAUUUGAGGGAGCAAAUAAGAGUUUUCUCGCAAAGUCGGCAAUUGGGAACCUUACAGCAGCCCAGCCUCCUGGUGAUGUCAUUUACUUGUGGGUUUGUUUGGGGGUUUUUUUAAAUGACCCGAAUGUUUUGCCUUAAAAACUUUGCCUAGGAGGCCCUUCUACGCACCCAGGAUUCCUGGCAAGAGAAAAAAAAAUAUUUGCUGAUGACAGCUCUGAAUAUAUUCUCUUUAAUUGUCACUUAUGUCUCUGUCCCAUCCUCUGCACUGUGCUAAAAAUAGUAAUUCGGGUUGAUGGUUUCAACACCAUAUAAUAUAUGUAUAUUGUUGCAUACAAAACCUACAUAAAAAUGUCAGGAAUGAGACCAAAGCCAGGAAUAAAACUGAAAAUCACAAACAUGAGAGAAGACCCAAAUAAUGAGGGUGUUGCAGGGAAAUGUUAUAUUGACGUCUCUGUGUAAAUACAUGCAGGCAGAGCAGUAAAAAUCCCACCACCUUCCAUGCAUAGAGGAUUCCUAGAAUAAUAUUUGCCUAUUUUUUUUUGUAAAUAUGUAGGUAGUGUUUAUAUUUAUCCCCAGCCUUCCCCUGCUUCCUUUAAGAGCAUGAUUUGCUAAUCAUGCUACAACACUUGUAAGGUAAGUGCAGGACAUAUUUUCCUGUCCAUUUUGCAGUGGAUAAAUUUGUCCAAAUUGUACAGCAAGUGUCUGGCAGAAGUGAGACUAGACACCAAGGAUAAAAUCCCUUUGAUUUCACUGAGGCGAGGAUUUUAUACCAGGAGUUUUGUCUCCACUUCUCCACUCUGUCUCCCAUGCCCUGUGUAUUCUUGGCUUUUGUUGCUACUUGAUCCAAGUCUUGGCUCAUUGUGUUAAAGGAAAGUCUGACAAAGAGGCAGCAAUGGCAGUGUUAACGUGACACUGUAGUUAUGGUUUUGUCAGCAUUUCCAUAUAAACUUCUGUUUGCAGGAAUUAUAAAUCAACCAUGGAAAAAAAAAAAAAAAAAAAAAAAAAAAGGAAAGAGAAGAAAUCACUGUGAAGUAAAACUUGGCAUACCAGAAUCCAGGAGGGAAUUUUGAGCUUUUGGAAAUAAUGGCUUCUGAUUACCAUGGACAGGCAUGACAUGAUGUGCAAAUAUACACUCCACAUUGCACUGGAAGAAAAUCAGGACAAGUGUCACCACUUUGUCAUGGCCAAGAGGGUGAGGAAAGAGGGUCUUCCUGACUUUCGGAAAUGAGAGAAAUAUUUUAUUAUUCUCAGAAACAUCCUAUUAAUGCCCUUAACAACUUCUUAAUUUUUCCUGUUUACUUUGUAUCAUCCCAUGUCAGGGACAGACGAUGGCUGGCUUUGGGGUUUGCAGUGGGUCAGGCAGUCAGCUGGUGUUGAUCAGCACAGCUCCACCCAAGUCCAGUGAAGUGAGGUUGGCUUACACCAGCCGAGAGUCUGUCUCCAUAUCACCUUUCUGCAGGAGGCUGCAGCAUUCGCUACCCAUUUGGAGCCCUAGUUAGUGUUUGUUUAACUUUGGAACUCCAUUCUGCCAUGCUGACUGAAUUCCAGUGGCAGGAUAGGCAUAAGCUGACUUGAAAGUGGUUUUGCCAAGGAGGUUAUUGGUUAUUUUGAAGUUGCAUUGUGCUGGUAUUUAUUGUAUUGUAUUCCAGGUUUUUUCCUGCUGCACAGCAGAGCGAUGGAGCAGGUGCUGCUCAGCCAGUUUACAACUGUCAGGCUGGUCCAAGAGGCUGCAACUAUCACCUACCCUGCACCCAAACUGUGAUUUUACAGGAUGAAGCUGAGUCACUGCCCAUUCUGGGUCAGAGCUCUGGGCUGUCCCCGGGACGAGCUCACUCCUGCAUCAUCAUCACUCAUGAGUCACUCGAAAGACGAGCUGCUGGCUCAUCGGAGCAGCAUUCCCCAGCAGCCGAGCUGGAACUCGAGUCCUUAUUUCUGAAUUCAGCUUGGAAAUAAAUGACAGCGCCGUGGCAGCUUUGGCUUUCGGUGGUGCUGCUAAUAACUGAGUGCUAAAUGUGGAGCAGCUCUGCAGGAGUGUCCCAGAGUCAGGUUACGGGGAGCAGGCGUCAAAACAAAGGUGCGGCAAACUCGAGGUAACUCCUUGAAUUGCGCGCCGGGGUUGGGUGUAGGGAGGAGAAGCAGCAAAACUCCUUGCUGGGGUUUUUUUAGAUGUGACAUUUCAGUGAUGUACCAACAGAGGAAAUUUUGCUUGCAGAAUCCUGUGAGCAAAACACUUCUGAGAAUGUAUGUAUACAAUUGUUUAAAAAAACACAGGGUUACUGACACAGAUGCCAAUUUGGUAGGGCAUAUGGAACAUUUACACUUGCCUUUUUCAUUCUUUCUUGCUACAGCUGGUACUGAUUUAGUAUGUGAAAUUUUACUAGCAGGAGUGCUAAUCAAGACAGAGAUUUCUGUGAGGAUUUAGUCAUUUAUGUGGAGGAAAACUAUGGGUAUCAUUAAAAAGUACAAGAUCAUCUAUGAGAGGAACAUUAUCAUUAGCAACCUAAUUUUUAAAGCAAACAGAGGGGAAAAACCUACUGUAUAUCCUCAACAGCAGCGGCAGCAGCAGCAAAUGAUGUUUUUGUAAUAUUCAGUCAUGUCACCUCUCUCUAAGUUUGAGCAAAGAGAAUUUGAAAUUCACUUGAAAAAAGGCAAUAGAUGCUCCAAGUGCUUUUUCAACCAGUGUGAUAGCCUGUUCUGCUACAUCAAAUGGAUAUGGCUGGGAAUGGGAUUAAAUCCAAAAGCCACAUUCAAAUCCUGGAUCGGUGUUUGAAUCUGGGGCCUCCAUUCAAACCUAACUCUAUGAUGGGGCUGCCUUUCACCAUCUUGGCAUUUGAGAAGGGGCCAACAGUAUCCCACAUCUAAAAUCCAGAGUUUGUAAAAGUUCCCUUCCUUUUUUUUCAGGAACUGCAAUCUGGGCCUGGAAUGGAGACAUUCAGAUCAUAAAUACCAAUUCUGGCCAAUUCCUGAUGUGACAAGAAAUACUAUAUUCCACCAAGAAGGCAACGAGAGCAUAUUACUUGUCCAAAGAGAUCCAAAAAGGUUCUGAGAGAUAAAGACCCCUCUGAUGUCGAACAGGUGGCUCGUCCAGGUCAUCAAGCACGAUGGUGGCUGUGGAAACAAAGCGUGUGGCGGUCCCACCUCGGCGCGAGGCGCGGGGGCGCGGCGGGGAUGCGCUUGGCAUUUAAAGGUCAGUCCCUGGCAGGUCCUCGGCACGUUCCCGGCAGCAGGUGACCUCCGUGACUGCUCUCCCAUCUCACACAUCCGCCUCACCAAGGAGCCAGGCUGCACCUUUAUGAAACUGUUUGCAGAAGAACGAGGCGUGAUCACAACUAAGCUGAAGGGUGUCAUAUUCACUUUACCACCGACAUGAGGACCAGUGGUUGAAUAUUCGAUUACAUGUCAGUCACAGCACAUUAGGCAAUCUUCCAGUCUGCCAGCUUUGCCCUUCCCAGCUCCCAGCUAAGUGUCAUCAGGAAAGAAGUAGCACUGUGAAGGCAGGAAUUGGCUUGCUCUGGGAGCUUCAGUCCCCAUGAAAAAUGUCCUCUCUUAUCAUUCCAGUGAGUCUAUUGUUUCCCCCAUACUCUGGAGGGAGGAAGGUUGUUUGUGCCUCCUGACUGUGGAUUCAAACCACUCAUGGUGCAGUUGCUGCUCAAUUUCAUCUCUAGAUCCGAAGGUAUAAAUGUGUGGAAAAGCAGCAAAUGUUGUAUUGAAAAUUUAGGGAGCUGUCAUUCCAACUGCCAUUACCAAAAAUAUUCUGCUCUUUCAAAUAAAGUGGCUAUAAAAACU
Molecule: long non-coding RNA, 15919 nt
Organism: Taeniopygia guttata (zebra finch)
Lineage: Eukaryota; Metazoa; Chordata; Aves; Passeriformes; Estrildidae
Source: RefSeq, a predicted model, not a curated record